AGGCCAUCUUUGAAGAAGUAAACAAGUACCAUACAAAAGGGAUGACAGAACAACCAAACAGAAGGCUUCCGAGGCGAUCCGGCAGCAUCAGUCUUCAGCCGCUAAGCCAAGAAGAUCUGGGAAGGAGUCAAUCAGAGAGCCUUGGGCCAGAGUUCCAGGGGCUGUGGAAGUGGCUGCCAG
Molecule: long non-coding RNA, 180 nt
Filed under: Pan troglodytes (chimpanzee)
Lineage: Eukaryota; Metazoa; Chordata; Mammalia; Primates; Hominidae
Description: lincRNA
Source: RNAcentral